This 1573-nucleotide long non-coding RNA is filed under the name Homo sapiens (human). Its description in RNAcentral is "HSALNT0115451". Lineage: Eukaryota; Metazoa; Chordata; Mammalia; Primates; Hominidae. The record is from RNAcentral.
CUCGGCCUCCCAAAUUGCUGGGAUUACAGGUGUGAGCCACCAUGCCUGGACUGAUUAGCAUUAAAAAUAUAUAAAUGAACAAACAAAGCAGAACAGAAUAGCAUAGGCUAGAAAAUAGUGUGCAUGUAGUAAAGGUAAGGAAGCUCACAAGGGCAUAUGUCUAUGUAUCUAUAUCAACCACAUAAACCUCUGUGUGUACUGGUUUGCGAUGUAAACUAUAUUUCCUUUUGUAGGCCAUGGUGGAAAAAAGUGUGAAAGCUCUUGAGUUAGAGACUCAUACAAAAUGGUGAGGGCCAAGAGGAAUGAGUGUCUGCCUAGGGACUAACUAGCAUCUAGCUGGAGUGAACUGGUACAAUUUUGGUUUGUCACCAAGAGAAGGCUUUUAAAGGAUUAUGAUGAUGAUGACAAGAACUGGAUGUUAUACAAAAUAAUCAGCCCCAGAAACAUAGAAAAAUAACAACCAGAUAUUUAUGUUUUCUGUUUCUUCACCCAUCAUGUGUGUCAGACUGUAAAAAUAACAGGGUCUUUAACAAGUUCUCCUUCACUGUAGGUUACAGCCAAGGAGAAAACACUAGUGUAUGUUGAAAUAGAAUAAUUACGCUGGGCGCCGUGGCUCAUGCCUGUAUCCCAGCACUUUGGGAGGCCAAGGAGGGGAGAUCAUGAGGUCAGGAGAUCAAGAUCAUCCUGGCUAACAUGGUGAAACCCCAUCUCUACUAAAAUACAAAAUAUUAGCCAGGCGUGGUGGCGCACACCUGUAGCCCCAGCUACUCAAGAGGCUGAGGCAGGGGAAUCGCUUGAAUCCGGGAGGCGGAGGUUGCAGUGAGCCAAGAUCGCACCACUGCACUCCAGCCUGGGUGACAGAGCGAGACUGGAGUGCAGUGGUUCAAUCAUGGCUCACUGCAGCCUCUAUCUCCUGGGUUCCAGUGGUCCUCCCACCUCAGUCUCCGGAGUAGUUGGGACUACAGGCAUGUGCCACCAUGCCUGGCCAAUUUGUGUAAUUUUUUUGUAGAGACGGGGUUUUGCCAUGCUGCCCAGGCUGGCCUCAAACUCCUGGGCUCAAGCAAUCCACCUGCCUUGGCCUCCCGAAGUGUUAGGAUUACAGGUGUGAGCCACGGCACCUGGCCAGGGCAUGAUUUUUUAUCUCAUUUAGAAACAAAGGUAAUAGUUCAUGAGAAACUGCUUCAUGAACCAAAAGGUAUCCUGUAAGUAUUCACCAUUUUCAUUAUUGUCAAUGCUAAUACAUUAUUUUCAAGUAAAAUACUAAAAGUAACACACCUGUAACCCUAGCACUUUGGGAGGCCAAGGUGAGAGGAUUGCUUGAGUCCAGGAGUUUGAGACCAGCCUGGGCAACAUAGCAAGACCCCAUCUCUAUUAUUUUUACAAAAAAAAUUAAAAUAAAUAAAUUAAAAGUAAAUGAAAGUGUAUUCAAUGUUUCCUGAUUAUGUGGUUUUGUACACAUCUUAAUUCCAAACCAAGGACUCAGGUUUAACUAACAUGUUCAAGGAUCAACAUUCAUAAUAAGGCAGAGAGUUUAAUCACAAUUGUUCUUUGUAACAGAAGUGUGGGUGGACUC